GAUGAAGAACGUAGCGAAAUGCGAUACGUAGUGUGAAUUGCAGAAUUCAGUGAAUCAUCGAAUCUUUGAACGCACAUUGCGCCCGGCAGUACUCUGCCGGGCAUGCCUGUUCGAGCGUCAUUUCAACCCUCAAGCCCUGCUUGGUGUUGGGGUCCCACGGCCGCCGUGGGCCCUGAAAGGAAGUGGCGGGCUCGCUACAACUCCGAGCGUAGUAAUUCAUUAUCUCGCUUAGGGCGUUGGGCGGCGCUCCUGCCGUUAAAGAACCAUCUUUAACUCAAGGUUGACCUCGGAUCAGGUAGGAAUACCCGCUGAACUUAAGCAUAUCAAUAAGCGGAGGA
Molecule: unclassified non-coding RNA, 338 nt
Filed under: soil metagenome
Description: partial contains 5.8S ribosomal RNA, internal transcribed spacer 2, and large subunit ribosomal RNA
Rfam family: 5.8S ribosomal RNA (bases 1-120)
Source: RNAcentral